AUUGAACGCUGGCGGCAGGCCUAACACAUGCAAGUCGAGCGGAUGAAGGGAGCUUGCUCCUGGAUUCAGCGGCGGACGGGUGAGUAAUGCCUAGGAAUCUGCCUGGUAGUGGGGGAUAACGUCCGGAAACGGGCGCUAAUACCGCAUACGUCCUGAGGGAGAAAGUGGGGGAUCUUCGGACCGCACGCUAGCAGAUGAGCCUAGGUCGGAUUAGCUAGUUGGUGGGGUAAAGGCCUACCAAGGCGACGAUCCGUAACUGGUCUGAGAGGAUGAUCAGUCACACUGGAACUGAGACACGGUCCAGACUCCUACGGGAGGCACCAGUGGGGAAUAUUGGACAAUGGGCGGAAGCCUGAUCCAGCCAGGCCGCGUGUGUGAAGAAGGUCUUCGGAUUGUAAAGCACUUUAAGUUGGGAGGAAGGGCAGUAAGUUAAUACCUUGCUGUUUUGACGUUACCAACAGAAUAAGCACCGGCUAACUUCGUG
This 484-nucleotide ribosomal RNA is filed under the name uncultured bacterium. RNAcentral's name for it is "partial 16S ribosomal RNA". It matches the Rfam family "Bacterial small subunit ribosomal RNA", at positions 30 to 507 of the family's 1533-position model. The record is from RNAcentral.